GACGAACGCUGGCGGCGUGCUUAACACAUGCAAGUCGAACGGAAAGGCCCUGCUUUUGUGGGGUGCUCGAGUGGCGAACGGGUGAGUAACACGUGAGUAACCUGCCCUUGACUUUGGGAUAACUUCAGGAAACUGGGGCUAAUACCGGAUAGGAGCUCCUGCUCCAUGGUGGGGGUUGGAAAGUUUCGGCGGUUGGGGAUGGACUCGCGGCUUAUCAGCUUGUUGGUGGGGUAGUGGCUUACCAAGGCUUUGACGGGUAGCCGGCCUGAGAGGGUGACCGGCCACAUUGCGACUAGGAUACGGCCCAGACUCCUACGGGAGGCAGCAGUGGGGAAUAUUGCACAAUGGGCGGAAGCCGGAUGCAGCAACGCCGCGUGAGGGAUGACGGCCUGCGGGUUGUAAACCGCUUUCGCCUGUGACGAAGCGUGAGUGACGGUAAUGGGUAAAGAAGCACCGGCUAACUACGUG
Molecule: ribosomal RNA, 468 nt
Filed under: uncultured bacterium
Lineage: Bacteria
Description: partial 16S ribosomal RNA
Rfam family: Bacterial small subunit ribosomal RNA
Source: RNAcentral